CCUACGGGGGGCUGCAGUGGGGAAUAUUGCGCAAUGGGCGAAAGCCUGACGCAGCGACGUCGCGUGAGGGAUGAAGGUCUUCGGAUUGGAAACCUCUGUCAGCAGGGAAGAACGGUCACUGUGCUAAUCAGCAGUGAAUUGACGGUACCUGUAAAGGAAGCACCGGCUAACUCCGUGCCAGCAGCCGCGGUAAUACGGAGGGUGCGAGCGCUAAUCGGAAUUACUGGGCGUAAAGCGCUCGUAGGCGGUAUGUCAAGUCAAGGGUGAAAUCCCCGCGCUCAACGUGGGAACUGCCUUUGAAACUGGCAAACUGGAGUGUGUGGGAGGAUAGUGGAAUUCCAGGUGUAGGAGUGAAAUGCGUAGAUAUCUGGAGGAACAUCAGUGGCGAAGGCGACUAUCUGGCACAUAACUGACGCUGAGGAGCGAAGGCGUGGGUAGCGAACAGGAUUAGAUACCCUGGUAGUC
Molecule: ribosomal RNA, 465 nt
Filed under: uncultured bacterium
Lineage: Bacteria
Description: partial 16S ribosomal RNA
Rfam family: Bacterial small subunit ribosomal RNA
Source: RNAcentral